CGGUUCCCUUCCACCAAGUGGAAGCUUUACUUUCGCUUUUGCUUUACUUUUGCUUUCGCUUUAGUAAAUCUUGCUGCCACACACUCUUUGGGUCCGCGCGUUUCUCCAAUCGAGCUGUAACACUCACCGCUGUGGUCCAAGGCUUCAUUCCUAGAAGCCCGUGAGACCAUGAGCCGACUGAGAAAAACCUUCGAUUGGAAGAAGACUUCUCGUCUCACCCGGCUGGGUUCUGGCUCACGGGAUGAUGAAGAUAUGAAAAUUUGACUAUGGCACUGACAAGCCCAGAUGGCACCUCCAGGAGCUCCCCAUGCCCUCCUCUGUGAGUCUCAAGCUUCUGUUGGGCUGCUGCUUCCCUAGCUUUCUGAAUCAUUCCGCAUGCCAGGGCAACGGUUUAUUCUCAUGCUAUGUUGUUGCAUUAUUAUACCAAGAAUCUAGAUCUUUAACUGAUAUGGGUUUCUUAAAAAAUUGCAUCUCCAUCAGACGUGGUGACUCACGCCUGUAAUCCUAGCACUUUGGGAGAUUGAACAGGUGGAUCACUUCAGUCCAGGAGUUCGAGACCAGCCUACACAGCAUGGUGAAACUCCUUCUCUACAAAAAAAUACAAAAAUUAGUUGGGCAUGGUGGUGCAUGCCUGUAAUCCCAGCUACUUGGGAGGCUGAAGUGCGAGGAUCACCUGAGCCGGGGAGGUCAAGGCUGUGGUGAGCCGUGAUUGUGCCACUACACUCCAGCCUGGGUGACAGAGUGAGACCCUGUCUCAAAAAAAUAAAAAAAUAAAAACACACAUAAUAAAUAAAUGCAUCUCUGU
This 805-nucleotide long non-coding RNA is filed under the name Homo sapiens (human). RNAcentral's name for it is "HSALNT0083747". The record is from RNAcentral. Lineage: Eukaryota; Metazoa; Chordata; Mammalia; Primates; Hominidae.